UGGGGAAUAUUGGGCAAUGGGCGAAAGCCUGACCCAGCCAUGCCGCGUGAGUGAUGAAGGCCUUCGGGUCGUAAAGCUCUGUGGGGAGGGAAGAAACCUUCUGCAGCUAAUAUCUGCAGGAUUUGACGGUACCUCCUUAGCAAGCACCGGCUAACUCCGUGCCAGCAGCCGCGGUAAUACGGAGGGUGCAAACGUUGCUCGGAAUCAUUGGGCGUAAAGCGCACGUAGGCGGCCGAUUAAGUCGGGUGUGAAAGCCCCGGGCUCAACCCGGGAAGUGCACUCGAAACUGAUCGGCUUGAAUAUGGAAGAGGGUCGCGGAAUUCCCGGUGUAGAGGUGAAAUUCGUAGAUAUCGGGAGGAACACCAGUGGCGAAGGCGGCGACCUGGGCCAAUAUUGACGCUGAGGUGCGAAAGCGUGGGGAGCAAACAGGAUUAGAUACCCGCGUAGUCC
RNAcentral lists this ribosomal RNA (450 nucleotides) under uncultured bacterium. RNAcentral describes it as "bacterial SSU rRNA". It matches the Rfam family "Bacterial small subunit ribosomal RNA", at positions 355 to 796 of the family's 1533-position model. The record is from RNAcentral.